Molecule: RNA transcript, 2189 nt
Organism: Capsella rubella
Lineage: Eukaryota; Viridiplantae; Streptophyta; Magnoliopsida; Brassicales; Brassicaceae
Gene name: DNA polymerase lambda
Exons: 15
Source: RefSeq, a predicted model, not a curated record
UACCCUGCUUUGAAAGACCCCAAAAAAAUCUCUGUUCUGUUCUGUUCUGUAGAGAGAAGUAGGAAAAAAAAAACCCGAGUGAGCAAGAAAAUGGCGGCAAAGCGAGGGAGAAACCGGUCGCCUUCUCCGGACCCGGAGGGGAUGUUCGCCGGAAUGGUAGUUUUUAUGGUCGAAAUCGGAGUCCAGCGUCAUCGAUUGCAGAUCUGGAAGCAGAAGCUGGUUCAAAUGGGUGCAGUUAUCGAGGAGGGUCGGUUAACGAAGAAAGUCACUCAUCUUCUUGCUAUGAACCCCGAAGCUCUUGUCCAGAAAUUUGGGAAGAAACGUCUUUCGCAUUUCACUGGACGCCUUAUGCUUUACCAGUGGUUAGAAGAUAGCCUAAUCGCAGGAGAGAAGGCUAAUGAAGACUUGUAUGUUCUCAAAAUUGACUCAGAAGAUAUGGAAGAGACAGACAAGUCUUUACCUGCAGCAUGUGGUGGUGAAGAUCAACCGUCAACUCCAAAACGUACUAGAUAUUCCCCUGAUGCUGGUGAAUUCAAAGGUCUAGAAAACCAAAAAUAUACAAAAGGAUCACCAGAUUCACCUACAAGUUGCAGUGUUCCCUCUAUUAGUGCCAGUCCUGGAGAAGGCAUUGUAGACACUCCGACUAGUCCACAAUCAGAGUCCACAUCGGUGUACAAACCACCUGAUUUGAACAGAAAUAUCACUGAGAUAUUUGGAAAGCUAAUAAACAUUUAUAGAGCUUUGGGUGAAGAUAGGCGGUCCUUUAGCUAUUACAAAGCUAUCCCUGUCAUUGAAAAGUUCCCCACUAGGAUUGAAAGCGUUGAUCAGCUCAAGCACCUCCCUGGAAUUGGAAAGUCAAUGAGAGAUCAUAUUCAAGAGAUUGUGACAACAGGGAAGUUGUCCAAAUUGGAACAUUUUGAAACAGAUGAAAAGGUUCGUACAAUCAGUUUGUUUGGGGAAGUUUGGGGUAUCGGUCCUGCAACUGCACUCAAGCUAUAUGAGAAAGGACAUCGCACACUAGAAGACUUGAAGAACGAGGAUUCACUAACACAUGCACAGAGGUUGGGGUUGAAAUAUUUUGAUGAUAUCAGAACAAGAAUUCCACGUCACGAGGUUCAAGAGAUGGAACAACUUCUACAGAGAGUCGGCGAGGAAACUUUGCCUGGUGUGAAUAUUGUAUGUGGAGGAUCAUACAGACGCGGGAAAGCUACUUGUGGAGAUCUAGAUAUCGUUAUCACACAUCCUGAUGGACAAAGUCACAAGGGAUUUUUGACAAAGUUUGUAAAGCGUUUAAAAGAAAUAAACUUCCUAAGAGAAGAUCUUAUCUUCAGCACCCACAGUGAAGAGGGUACUGAUUCAGGCGUUGACACGUAUUUUGGCCUGUGCACUUAUCCUGGUCAGGAGCUACGGCGCCGUAUUGAUUUUAAGGUUUAUCCAAGGGAUAUCUAUGCAUUUGGACUCAUAGCCUGGACGGGUAAUGACGUGCUGAACAGAAGGCUGAGAUUGCUAGCAGAAUCCAAAGGCUAUCGACUUGAUGACACUGGACUAUUCCCGGCUACUCACAGCUCUAGUGGUAACCGGGGUGCUAGAGGAACUGCAAGUCUGAAACUCUCAACGGAGAAACAAGUUUUCGAAUUCUUAGGAUUUCCUUGGCUCGAGACACACGAGAGGAAUCUCUAAGGCAUCACCAAAGGGAAAGCCUUUGAUAAUUGACAGUUAAGCUAAAGAACAAAACUCUUUCUUUUGCCCGUUUGGAUAGGUUCUAUAGUUUAAUCGGUUCUUUUUGUAAUUACAUAUCCAGGGACGUCUGAAUUAUAUAUAGAUGGGUAUGAUGUAUUGUGUAUCUUAAGGUUAAUCAAUGACACGUGUCAGAGCAUGUGUGGUUUAGUCUGGAAAUAAGAGUGUCAAAGUCCCACAUCGACAAGCCUGUGAAAGAGAAACGUCUUUAUAUAUGGGCAGAAAACAACAAUUGUCACGACCUUACUUGAACAGGAUCUGUUCUAUAGGCUCGUACCUCUGUAUCCUUGAUUUCUAUGGAGACAGGCCCUUAACCCUGGUUGAUGAACCAUGACCGUGCGAUCAGAGCGUGAUUAACGGCUACGAUCGUCCUCGGAUGUAUCCGGUGCUGUAGAGGAUCGUUACUCGGCUCGGUUCUACCUUGCCGGGGUGGUCGCACGGCGGUCUGACAG